This 1565-nucleotide long non-coding RNA is filed under the name Homo sapiens (human). RNAcentral describes it as "HSALNT0116963". Lineage: Eukaryota; Metazoa; Chordata; Mammalia; Primates; Hominidae. The record is from RNAcentral.
GAUUAGCCAGCUUGUCUAUCCUUUCCUGGGUCUGGUCUCCCAGCGGUUGGCAGCAGGGGCUGAGUCAGCAGCUGUGGUAUUACAGCCAUGCUCUACUUCCACGAGCAGAGAGCUAAAACUCUGCUCCAGCUGGGCCCCCAAAUGCAAUGCUGUCCCCAAAUGUGUAAGGAAUGUUGAACCAUGGUCCUCUUCUCUUAGCCAUAUUUUUGGGACCAUUUACCCACCACUGCUCUUGCUAUAUACAUAACCUGUUUUCAGAGAGGGCUGUUUUCAUAAUUCUUUAUCAUUUCCAGGGCACCUUUUGAUGUGAUUGCAUUUUCUACUCCAGGCCAUAAAAGUUGCAGCAGCAUUUAACUCAAUUGAGAUCACUGAGGACCCUUCCUGCCCCCGAUGCAACGGCUGCAUUUUGUCUGGAGUCUGCAUGGUUCUCCUGGUCAGCUUGCAGGACUGUGCGGAGCAGGAAGGAAUUCGCUUGGCUGGAAUGCACCCCUCCGGGCUGCAGGUUGGAAGCUGAAUGUCUAGGAAACCACGCCUAGCUUUCUAAAAGACGGGCACUGUCAGAAAACCCUGAGGAGCCCAGACCCACUGCACUCACUCUCCUUAUGGGCUGAUUCCCUGUGAUCUUGGCCUGCAACACGGAGUCGGAGCUGCCUAGAGUUGUGAUACAAGCUAGGUCACCACGGAGGAUGAACAGGAAGUUUGCACUUUCUGGAGAGUGCACUCAAGCUCCUGCGAAAAGCACCAAUGAGUGAGCAGAAUGUGUGACUCAAUGGAACUUCCUAGCCACGUCUUCAGCCCGGUAGCUACAAAAACAUGCGUGGACUGAGGCUGCGCCCACAGUCCUCAGUGAGGACGAGGACUCAGGCUACGGGGCUGUCGUCACAGCCUCACCUGCUAAGUGGUCCUGGAGAAGCCACGCUUCAUUAUAAAAAUGUUGUCAUUUUUAUAAAAUACCCUGUGAAUUAACUUUUACAAUAACACCCCCAUCCAUGAGUGGGUUUGAAUCAUCCUUUUAAAUUUCAAUGCAGGUGUUUAGAAAGCUUGAGGAAGAUUCUGGCCUUCUGUUAGGAAGCAGAUUUCAGGAAGGGCAGGUGAAAUUGCACACAGACGAGCUCAAUGGGUGUUUGAAUCUGUCUGCUCUGACCCCUGGGAAAUGCUUGCAUUUUCUCGUGGUGUGCACAGAGAACAGACCCUGCCUCCACUGUCUUCACUGUCAGGGAGCUAAGCAGCAGCCUCCCCUCACCUACGCUUUGUUCCAGACGUGAAGUUCCUUACAGGCAUCUCAAACCAACUCCUUGUUCCAGGAAUAUUUCACGCCUCCUUCCAAAUCUACUCCUGUCCUCCUCUGGUUUUCUGACUGGCUUCCUCCCAACGAUCUUGCCCCACUGCAUCAGCCCUGAGGGGCCCAGGACGUCUGCGGGGACUUCAACGGCCUUCUCCACCUUCAUGUAAAAUUCUUUUAAUCUUUCAGGAGAAAGCUGCUUUCUGAAUUGAAAAUGCUGUGGCCCUCACCAGGCAGCUUACCUGAAAACACUGCUAUCUUUCUUCUUGAAAAUUUGAGGAAA